GAAAACUCAGUUAACCCAUUGUAAUCUGCAUGAACGUUGCAAAUAGCUUCAAUCAAAAGAGCAUUAUCACUCUUGACUUCAACUAAGAGCCCUUCAUACAUUGUUUUCGACACUACUCCCCAUGCCCUUAGCCCAAGACAUUUUCGACAUUAGAAACUCUCUUAAGCUACUAUGUGCAUAUCAUGAAAAAAAACAAAACUAUUUCGG
RNAcentral lists this long non-coding RNA (207 nucleotides) under Gossypium barbadense (sea-island cotton). RNAcentral describes it as "long non-coding RNA (GBAR_LNC002918)". The record is from RNAcentral. Lineage: Eukaryota; Viridiplantae; Streptophyta; Magnoliopsida; Malvales; Malvaceae.